Molecule: ribosomal RNA, 433 nt
Filed under: uncultured bacterium
Lineage: Bacteria
Description: partial 16S ribosomal RNA
Rfam family: Bacterial small subunit ribosomal RNA
Source: RNAcentral
AACGAACGCUGGCGGCAUGCCUAACACAUGCAAGUCGAACGAGACCUUCGGGUCUAGUGGCGCACGGGUGCUUAACGCGUGGGAACCUGCCCUUAGGUUCGGAAUAACUCCCCGAAAGGGGUGCUAAUACCGGAUAAUGUCUUCGGACCAAAGAUUUAUCGCCUUUGGAUGGGCCCGCGUUGGAUUAGCUAGUUGGUAGUGUAAAAGCCUACCAAGGCGACGAUCCAUAGCUGGUCUGAGAGGAUGAUCAGCCACACUGGGACUGAGACACGGCCCAGACUCCUACGGGAGGCAGCAGUGGGGAAUAUUGGACAAGGGGCGAAAGCCUGAUACAGCAAUGCCGCGUGAGUGAUGAAGGCGUUAGGGUUGUAAAGCUCUUUUACCCGGGAUGAUAAUGACAGUACCGGGAGAAUAAGCUCCGGCUAACUCCGUG